This 84-nucleotide transfer RNA is filed under the name Bacteroidales bacterium. RNAcentral describes it as "tRNA-Leu". It matches the Rfam family "tRNA". Rfam says of the family: Transfer RNA (tRNA) molecules are approximately 80 nucleotides in length. Their secondary structure includes four short double-helical elements and three loops (D, anti-codon, and T loops). The record is from RNAcentral. Lineage: Bacteria; Pseudomonadati; Bacteroidota; Bacteroidia; Bacteroidales.
GCCCGGAUGGCGAAAUUGGUAGACGCGUUAGUUUCAGGGACUAGUGUUUGUAAGGACGUGCAGGUUCGAGUCCUGUUCCGGGUA